CGUGCUGAUACCUACUCUGGCACAGCAGGGGGCGCUGGAGCCACUGCAACGCCUCCAACACGGGAGGCGGCGGCUGCAGCAGGUGAGGCUUCGCCAGACCGGUGUCGGGUUCCUGGCGUUGGUGCAUUAAGUGGGUUUUCAUGUUUGCCCUGCCCUCGUUGAUUCAAAAGCAAACAUCUGAGUAGAGCAGCAAACAUUUCAGACCGAACAGAGACGACGCGGCUGAUUGACCUCUGGCUGUGAUGAUGCUCGCUGGUUUCCUCUUCCUGCUCCUCCUCACAGGUGGGAGCACAUCUAAUACGGAGCAACCAGAUCUACAAGCGACCACUGAGGACACAGAGCCAGGUGGGACCACAUCUACUACAGAGCAACCCGAUCUUCAAGCGACCACUGAGGACACAGAGCCAGUUCUUUUAGGUGGGAGCACAUCUACCACGAAGCAACCGGAGGCCACUGAGAAAACAAAAACAGACUCUGAGGAAGAAGUGGAUUGCAGUUAUCAAGCUGUUAUAAAUCACCUGAAACUGAACCAAACCAACUCAUUGUUUACUGUGACGAGACCUGUUAAACAUUUUAAGGAUCUUACAGUCGUAUAUGUCCAGUUCAUUCUUUACGCCAUCCUAGACGUGAGAGAAUCUGACCAGUCGUUCAUUCCUUAUGUUUGGAUAAGUAUGGAAUGGAUGAAUGACCACAUUGAAUGGGAACCAGACAACUUUUGUGGCAUUAAACGUAUAAUAGUUCCUACUGAGCUGCUGUGGAAACCAGAUAUAUUCAUUAAAGAGAUAACAGAAAAGGAGAAAACUCCUCCAAGCCCUUAUCUCAUCAUUGAAAGUGAUGGCUGGGUCAAAUAUAGGAGCGACCAAGUCCUGAUCAGCACCUGUGGGAUGCAGCUUUACAAAUUCCCCUUUGACACCCAGAGGUGCAACCUGUCCUUCAGGUCCAUCGUGCACUCUGAUGAAGAAAUUUCACUUAACACCAACCCCAACAUUGCAACGGUCACAGCGUGGUCACAUGCGAUCAUGGCCAACCAUUCUGAGUGGCGUCUGCUCAGUAUAACACCGAACCAAAUAACUGUCAACAACUUUGGACUCAACCACAGUACGAUUGUCUAUACAAUUUCCAUGCAGAGAAGACCGGUCCUGUACCUUGUCAGCUUCAUACUCCCCGUCGUUUUCUUUCUUUGUCUGGACUUUGCCUCCUUUCUGAUCUCAGACACUGGGGGUGAGAAGCUGAGUUUUAAGAUCACUGUGCUUCUUGCAAUCACUCUGAUGCAGCUGAUUCUGAAUGAAAUCCUGCCUUCACCCACAGACCGGAUCCCUCUGAUAGCUGUGUAUUGCAUUGGAAUCUUCAUGAUGAUGCUGCUCAGCCUCCUGGAGACUCUUUUAGUGAUGUGUCUGCUACAAAAAGACCCUGCAGAACAAUGUAAUAAGGACGAUGAGGACCGAAGCCUGAGUGAGGAUUGUACUGAUAGACAGAGUGAAAGCAGGGUGAGGAAUAAAUGGACUUUCUGUGUCUGCGAUGCUGAUGAACCACCAACUCAAGCUCUGCCUGAAAACGAGGGCAGCAGCAACAAGACGGAGGUGUCCCGAACCUUGGAGAAGGUCUCUGAUGACCUGAGGAAAAUGGAGAAAACCAUCAGUCUGUUCAGCAACGGCAGCAAGAAGGAAGGAAGGAAGCUCUACUGGAUCAGAGUGACUAAAAGGAUCAACAAAGUCUUCUUUGUUUGUUAUGUCACAGCAACCGUUUUGUUUCUCAUCUUUAUCUUUAAACUGUGGCUCACAGACGACAAUGAAUGAUAUAAAACGGUGACUGACUCUUAAAGUGAAGUCAGUCAGACACUGAUGAUGCAGCUGGUGCAGUGUGUUAGUUUGUACAGCGUGUUGUAGCUUUACUCUGAACUCAUAUCAACCAUGCAAUUAAUCUUUUCUUGUGAAAUCAACCUCUUUGUAGGACAGAGUCUCGUGAUCAAAUUUAACGUACGUUUUUAAAUUAAUUUGACACAGACUUAAAAAAGCGCCUUGUGAUAUUUAAUUACAUGGUUUUGCUGAUUCUGAACAUGGCUGAUGUGCUGACUACGCUAAAAGAACAUGAUUCAAAGUGAUGUGGCACCACAAUCAGUAACAAAGAUUCCACUUCACCAAGUAAUUCAACCACAGGAGACUGAUUUUUUAUUGUUUUACACAAUCUAUAACUACACAGUCAAGAUUUAAAAAACUUUAAUAAUCCCAGAGGGAAAUUAUUUUGCACACUUUGAUUGCUGUCACUGUUACAGGUACACACAAGAAGGAAGGAAGAUUAAAAAUAUGAAUGCUAAGUCUAAUUACUGUUGUCCAAUUAUAUCAAAUUAAUAGCUAAAGUUUUAUUAUACAUGUUAUUGCAUGGAUGGAGAUCACCCCUUACAGAGAGAUGAGGAGUUGUACAGACUGAUGGCACCCGUAGGAAGGAUCUCCGGUGGCGUUCUGUGGAGCAUCUAAUACUGAUCAGCUGUGGCUGAAGGUGCUCCUCUGUCCAGCACACUGUGUGGGGGUGGAGGUGUCGUCUAUAGAGAGGAGUUGGACCAGCAUCCUCCUCUCAGCUACAGCAUGUAGGGGGUCCAGCUCUACCCCAGAACAGAACCAGCCCUCCUGAUCACUUUGUCCAGUCUGUUACUGUCUGCUACAUUCUUUAUAUAUACUUCAAGCAGUGUUUAGAUCAUUUAUCCAAUACUAAAACAUUACUGUAAAUGAAAUAAACGGAAAAGACAACCCGUUCCUUUCCUUCCUGUCACGAGGGUCACACAAAUCUAUAAAGUACUGUAUAUCGUGUGACCUUUACAGUCAUCAGACUGCAGCAAAUCAACACACAUGAUUCUACAUUUAUAACGUGGUUUCAUUCUUCUAUUUAUCUCUCAGUUUACCUAUGUUUUCUAAUGUGAGUAAAACAUCUCUUGAUUCCAAUCUCUAUUUGAGAGUUGGACAAACACUGCAACUGCUCAGAGUGAUUGAAGGAUGCUCCACAUGGUUUUAUCAACAUGUGUGUCUGGUUGUACUCCUGCUGACUGCAAAUGGAGAACACAUGUUGGUGAAACAGAAGCUCUUGUGGUCGAUUAGAUCAGUCAGUACUAAAGUCCUGGCUGCUCCUUUUGUGACUGUAACUACCACAUAUUGAUUGUGACUGUGUUUAAAAUAAUGUUAAAAAUCAGUUUUAGCUGGAACUAGUUUCAAUAACUGAAAUGGAAGAAAGACAAUAUUGUUAUGUCGUCAUUAAUAAGUCGCUGUGUAUGUUUCGUUGUUUCGCUCUUUAAAGCGGACUCUAAUGGUGAAGACCUCUUGCAGUUCCUCGCUGCGCCGCUGCGCCGCCUCCUCCCGCGCUGCAGGUGGCGCUGUUCGUUCCCGUGUGACGUCGCUGACGUUCAAUCAGUGACGUGGAUUUUCAUUGAGGCAGUCGACGCUGCCAGACACGCAGGCUGUUCAACACGUCUGAGUUUUCCACACGCGUUUGUUCUGCUUGGUUCUUUUUGUCACGGUUUGUUACAGAAGAGUCCCACGAUGAGUAAAAACAGCAAAGUGUUGAACCUGAAGGAUAAAAUCAACGGUAACGAGGUGGACCUGAGCCUGUGCAACCUGACCGAGGUUCCAGUCAAGGAGCUGGCUGCGUUUCCCAAAGCAACCGUCGUGGA
RNA transcript from Betta splendens (Siamese fighting fish), 3658 nucleotides. It is a transcript of the gene named leucine rich repeat containing 59, with no coding region annotated. The record is from RefSeq and is a predicted model, not a curated record. The transcript is spliced from 16 exons. NCBI's taxonomy places the organism in Eukaryota, Metazoa, Chordata, Actinopteri, Anabantiformes, Osphronemidae.